GACGAACGCUGGCGGCGUGCUUAACACAUGCAAGUCGAACGGGGCGAAGUGAUAGCUUGCUAUUAUGGAGCCUAGUGGCAAACGGGUGAGUAACGCGUAGGCAACCUGCCCUUCAGAUGGGGACAACACCUCGAAAGGGGUGCUAAUACCGAAUGACGUUUCCUAGUCGCAUGACUGGGAAACCAAAGGCCGGGCAACCGGUCACUGAAGGAUGGGCCUGCGUCUGAUUAGCUAGUUGGUGGGGUAACGGCCACCUAGGCGACGAUCAGUAGCCGGUCUGAGAGGAUGAACGGCCACAUUGGGACUGAGACACGGCCCAAACUCCUACGGGAGGCAGCAGUGGGGAAUCUUCCGCAAU
This 358-nucleotide ribosomal RNA is filed under the name uncultured bacterium. RNAcentral's name for it is "bacterial SSU rRNA". It matches the Rfam family "Bacterial small subunit ribosomal RNA", at positions 28 to 372 of the family's 1533-position model. The record is from RNAcentral.